RNAcentral lists this ribosomal RNA (500 nucleotides) under uncultured bacterium. RNAcentral describes it as "partial 16S ribosomal RNA". It matches the Rfam family "Bacterial small subunit ribosomal RNA", at positions 30 to 523 of the family's 1533-position model. The record is from RNAcentral.
AUUGAGCGCUGGCGGCAUGCUUUACACAUGCAAGUCGAACGGUAACAGGGUGCUUGCACCGCUGACGAGUGGCGAACGGGUGAGUAAUGCGUCGGAACGUGCCGAGUAGUGGGGGAUAACGCAGCGAAAGUUGUGCUAAUACCGCAUACGUACUGAGGUAGAAAGUGGGGGACCUUCGGGCCUCACGCUAUUCGAGCGGCCGACGUCUGAUUAGCUAGUAGGUGAGGUAAAGGCUCACCUAGGCGACGAUCAGUAGCGGGUCUGAGAGGAUGAUCCGCCAUACUGGGACUGAGACACGGCCCAGACUCCUACGGGAGGCAGCAGUGGGGAAUUUUGGACAAUGGGCGAAAGCCUGAUCCAGCCAUGCCGCGUGUCUGAAGAAGGCCUUCGGGUUGUAAAGGACUUUUGUCAGGGAGGAAAUCCCUAGUGCUAAUAACACUGGGGGAUGACAGUACCUGAAGAAUAAGCACCGGCUAACUACGUGCCAGCCGCCGCGGUAA